GAUGAACGCUGGCGGCGUGCCUAAUACAUGCAAGUCGAGCGAACAGAUGAGGAGCUUGCUCCUCUGACGUUAGCGGCGGACGGGUGAGUAACACGUGGAUAACCUACCUAUAAGACUGGGAUAACUUCGGGAAACCGGCGCUAAUACCGGAUAAUAUAUUGAACCGCAUGGUUCAAUAGUGGAAGACGGUUUUGCUGUCACUUAUAGAUGGAUCCGCGCCGCAUUAGCUAGUUGGUAAGGUAACGGCUUACCAAGGCAACGAUGCGUAGCCGACCUGAGAGGGUGAUCGGCCACACUGGAACUGAGACACGGUCCAGACUCCUACGGGAGGCAGCAGUAGGGAAUCUUCCGCAAUGGGCGAAAGCCUGACGGAGCAACGCCGCGUGAGUGAUGAAGGUCUUCGGAUCGUAAAACCCUGUUAUUAGGGAAGAACAAAUGUGUAAGUAACUAUGCACGUCUUGACGGUACCUAAUCAGAAAGCCACGGCUAACUACGUG
Molecule: ribosomal RNA, 497 nt
Filed under: uncultured bacterium
Lineage: Bacteria
Description: partial 16S ribosomal RNA
Rfam family: Bacterial small subunit ribosomal RNA
Source: RNAcentral